RNAcentral lists this ribosomal RNA (800 nucleotides) under Bacillus aerius. RNAcentral's name for it is "bacterial SSU rRNA". It matches the Rfam family "Bacterial small subunit ribosomal RNA", at positions 48 to 828 of the family's 1533-position model. Lineage: Bacteria; Bacillati; Bacillota; Bacilli; Caryophanales; Bacillaceae. The record is from RNAcentral.
UUAUUACUGUUAGUCGAGCGAACUCCAUUACUAAGCUUGCUUCUAUGACGUUAGCGGCGGACGGGUGAGUAACACGUGGGCAACCUGCCUGUAAGACUGGGAUAACUUCCGGAAACCGAAGCUAAUACCGGAUAGGAUCUUCUCCUUCAUGGGAGAUGAUUGAAAGAUGGUUUCGGCUAUCACUUACAGAUGGGCCCGCGGUGCAUUAGCUACUUGGUGAGGUAACGGCUCACCACGGCAACGAUGCCUAGCCGACCUGAGAGGGUGAUCGGCCACCCUGGGACUGAGACACGGCCCCCACUCCUACGGGAGGCAGCAGUAGGGAAUCUUCCGCAAUGGACGAAAGUCUGACGGACCACCGCCCCGUGAGUGAUGAAGGCUUUCGGGUCGUAAAACUCUGUUGUUAGGGAAGAACAAGUACGAGAGUAACUGCUCGUACCUUGACGGUACCUAACCAGAAAGCCACGGCUAACUACGUGCCAGCAGCCGCGGUAAUACGUAGGUGGCAAGCGUUAUCCGGAAUUAUUGGGCGUAAAGCGCGCGCAGGCGGUUUCUUAAGUCUGAUGUGAAAGCCCACGGCUCAACCGUGGAGGGUCAUUGGAAACUGGGGAACUUGAGUGCAGAAGAGAAAAGCGGAAUUCCACGUGUAGCGGUGAAAUGCGUAGACAUGCGGAGGAACACCAGUGGCCAACGCGGCUUUUUCGUCUGUAACUGACGCUGACGCGCGAAAGCGUCGGGAGCAAACAGGAUUAGAUACCCUGGUAGUCCACGCCCUAAACGACGAGUGCUAAGUGUUAGAG